GAUGAACGCUGGCGGCGUGCCUAAUACAUGCAAGUCGAGCGAACAGAUGAGGAGCUUGCUCCUCUGACGUUAGCGGCGGACGGGUGAGUAACACGUGGAUAACCUACCUAUAAGACUGGGAUAACUUCGGGAAACCGGAGCUAAUACCGGAUAAUAUAUUGAACCGCAUGGUUCAAUAGUGAAAGACGGUUUUGCUGUCACUUAUAGAUGGAUCCGCGCCGCAUUAGCUAGUUGGUAAGGUAACGGCUUACCAAGGCGACGAUGCGUAGCCGACCUGAGAGGGUGAUCGGCCACACUGGAACUGAGACACGGUCCAGACUCCUACGGGAGGCAGCAGUAGGGAAUCUUCCGCAAUGGGCGAAAGCCUGACGGAGCAACGCCGCGUGAGUGAUGAAGGUCUUCGGAUCGUAAAACUCUGUUAUUAGGGAAGAACAAAUGUGUAAGUAACUAUGCACGUCUUGACGGUACCUAAUCAGAAAGCCGCGGCUAACUACGU
RNAcentral lists this ribosomal RNA (496 nucleotides) under uncultured bacterium. RNAcentral's name for it is "partial 16S ribosomal RNA". It matches the Rfam family "Bacterial small subunit ribosomal RNA", at positions 28 to 506 of the family's 1533-position model. The record is from RNAcentral.